This 253-nucleotide ribosomal RNA is filed under the name uncultured bacterium. RNAcentral describes it as "partial 16S ribosomal RNA". It matches the Rfam family "Bacterial small subunit ribosomal RNA", at positions 524 to 776 of the family's 1533-position model. The record is from RNAcentral.
UACGGGGGGGGCAAGCGUUGUUCGGAAUUACUGGGCGUAAAGGGCGCGUAGGCGGCUGGCUAAGUCCGCUGUGAAAACCACGGGCUUAACUCGUGGCCUGCAGUUGAGACUGUCUGGCUUGAGUGUGGGAGAGGAGAGUGGAAUUCCUGGUGUAGCGGUGAAAUGCGUAGAUAUCAGGAGGAACACCGGUGGCGAAGGCGGCUCUCUGGACCACAACUGACGCUGAGGCGCGAAAGCUAGGGGAGCAAACAGG